RNAcentral lists this ribosomal RNA (277 nucleotides) under Acarospora cervina. RNAcentral's name for it is "partial 18S ribosomal RNA". Lineage: Eukaryota; Fungi; Ascomycota; Lecanoromycetes; Acarosporales; Acarosporaceae. The record is from RNAcentral.
UGCGGUUCCUUCCACAGUGUAACCCACCGAAGCUUUGCCGCAGCGACUCUAAACAAUUGCACCAGUCCGCUCUGCGGGCAACACCAUGAUCUCACUGGGACCUCCAUCCUGCCUGCCGGGUGUGGACACCAGUGGCCUGUUCAGCACAGGUUCACAGAUCAAACAGUGGUGGCCAACAGCUCGGCUCGCCUGAACCGGUUGGUUAAGAUAUGACCGGUCUCCACUGUAACCAGCUGGAGGGCACACGUUCCGUAGGUGAACCUGCGGAAGGAUCAUU